This 253-nucleotide ribosomal RNA is filed under the name uncultured bacterium. Its description in RNAcentral is "partial 16S ribosomal RNA". It matches the Rfam family "Bacterial small subunit ribosomal RNA", at positions 524 to 776 of the family's 1533-position model. The record is from RNAcentral.
AACGUAGGAGACAAACGUUAUCCGGAGUUACUGGGCGUAAAGGGCGUGCAGGCGGUUAGUUAAGUCUGGCGUGAAAGCUCUCGGCUAAACCGGGAGAGGUCGUUGGAUACUGGCUGACUAGAGGACGGUAGAGGCGUGUGGAAUUCCGGGUGUAGUGGUGAAAUGCGUAGAGAUCCGGAGGAACACCAGUGGCGAAGGCGACACGCUGGGCCGUACCUGACGCUAAAGCGCGACAGCAUGGGGAGCAAACGGG